This 318-nucleotide ribosomal RNA is filed under the name Triticum aestivum (bread wheat). RNAcentral describes it as "partial small subunit ribosomal RNA". The record is from RNAcentral. Lineage: Eukaryota; Viridiplantae; Streptophyta; Magnoliopsida; Poales; Poaceae.
AUGUGUGGUCAGGUGAUUUUGUCGGAUAAGCCUGACAAAGUUAAAUGGUUACUUACAAACUCCGGUAGCUUUUCCGUUAAAUCUCUGUAUCACUAUCUUAUAGUUAGACAAGUUGUUUUCCCUUUUAAAAAACUAUGAAGGAUGAAGAUGCCUCUUAAAGUUAAGGCAUUCUCUUGGUUAGUAAUCAAAAAUAGGAUUCUGACCAAGGACAAUCUGAGUAAAACAGGCUGGAAAGGUGCUAAGUUUUGUGGAUUUUGUGACUGUGAAGAGAGUGUGAAUCAUUUAUUUUUCUCUUGUUCCUUAGCUAAGUUCUUGUGA